This 530-nucleotide ribosomal RNA is filed under the name Burkholderia multivorans. Its description in RNAcentral is "bacterial SSU rRNA". It matches the Rfam family "Bacterial small subunit ribosomal RNA", at positions 1 to 540 of the family's 1533-position model. Lineage: Bacteria; Pseudomonadati; Pseudomonadota; Betaproteobacteria; Burkholderiales; Burkholderiaceae. The record is from RNAcentral.
UUUAUGGAGAGUUUGAUCCUGGCUCAGGACGAACGCUGGCUGCGUGCUUAACACAUGCAAGUCGAACGCUGAAGCCUGGUGCUUGCACCGGGUGGAUGAGUGGCGAACGGGUGAGUAACACGUGAGUAACCUGCCCCUGACUUCGGGAUAAGCCCGGGAAACUGGGUCUAAUACCGGAUACGACCGUCGGACGCAUGUCUGGUGGUGGAAAGUUUUUUCGGUUGGGGAUGGGCUCGCGGCCUAUCAGUUUGUUGGUGAGGUAAUGGCUCACCAAGACGACGACGGGUAGCCGGCCUGAGAGGGCGACCGGCCACACUGGGACUGAGACACGGCCCAGACUCCUACGGGAGGCAGCAGUGGGGAAUAUUGCACAAUGGGGGAAACCCUGAUGCAGCGACGCAGCGUGCGGGAUGACGGCCUUCGGGUUGUAAACCGCUUUCAGCAGGGAAGAAGCGCAAGUUACGGUACCUGCAGAAGAAGUACCGGCUAACUACGUGCCAGCAGCCGCGGUAAUACGUAGGGUACGAGCG